Molecule: ribosomal RNA, 465 nt
Filed under: Vreelandella stevensii
Lineage: Bacteria; Pseudomonadati; Pseudomonadota; Gammaproteobacteria; Oceanospirillales; Halomonadaceae
Description: partial 16S ribosomal RNA
Rfam family: Bacterial small subunit ribosomal RNA
Source: RNAcentral
CCUACGGGGGGCUGCAGUGGGGAAUAUUGGACAAUGGGGGGAACCCUGAUCCAGCCAUGCCGCGUGUGUGAAGAAGGCCCUCGGGUGGUAAAGCACUUUCAGUGAGGAAGAACGCCUGGUGGUUAAUACCCAUCAGGAAAGACAUCACUCACAGAAGAAGCACCGGCUAACUCCGUGCCAGCAGCCGCGGUAAUACGGAGGGUGCGAGCGUUAAUCGGAAUUACUGGGCGUAAAGCGCGCGUAGGUGGCUUGAUAAGCCGGUUGUGAAAGCCCCGGGCUCAACCUGGGAACGGCAUCCGGAACUGUCAAGCUAGAGUGCAGGAGAGGAAGGUAGAAUUCCCGGUGUAGCGGUGAAAUGCGUAGAGAUCGGGAGGAAUACCAGUGGCGAAGGCGGCCUUCUGGACUGACACUGACACUAAGGUGCGAAAGCGUGGGUAGCAAACAGGAUUAGAUACCCUUGUAGUC